UAAGGGCGCACGGUGGAUGCCUUGGCACUAGAAGCCGAUGAAGGACGUUACUAACGACGAUAUGCUUUGGGGAGCUGUAAGUAAGCUUUGAUCCAGAGAUUUCCGAAUGGGGAAACCCAGCAUGAGUUAUGUCAUGUUAUCGAUAUGUGAAUACAUAGCAUAUCAGAAGGCACACCCGGAGAACUGAAACAUCUUAGUACCCGGAGGAAGAGAAAGAAAAUUCGAUUCCCUUAGUAGCGGCGAGCGAAACGGGAAGAGCCCAAACCAACAAGCUUGCUUGUUGGGGUUGUAGGACACUCUAUACGGAGUUACAAAGGACGACAUUAGACGAAUCAUCUGGAAAGAUGAAUCAAAGAAGGUAAUAAUCCUGUAGUCGAAAAUGUUGUCUCUCUUGAGUGGAUCCUGAGUACGACGGAGCACGUGAAAUUCCGUCGGAAUCUGGGAGGACCAUCUCCUAAGGCUAAAUACUCUCUAGUGACCGAUAGUGAACCAGUACCGUGAGGGAAAGGUGAAAAGCACCCCGGAAGGGGAGUGAAAUAGAACCUGAAACCGUGUGCUUACAAGUAGUCAGAGCCCGUUAAUGGGUGAUGGCGUGCCUUUUGUAGAAUGAACCGGCGAGUUACGAUUUGAUGCAAGGUUAAGCAGUAAAUGUGGAGCCGUAGCGAAAGCGAGUCUGAAUAGGGCGUUUAGUAUUUGGUCGUAGACCCGAAACCAGGUGAUCUACCCUUGGUCAGGUUGAAGUUCAGGUAACACUGAAUGGAGGACCGAACCGACUUACGUUGAAAAGUGAGCGGAUGAACUGAGGGUAGCGGAGAAAUUCCAAUCGAACCUGGAGAUAGCUGGUUCUCUCCGAAAUAGCUUUAGGGCUAGCCUCAAGUGAUGAUUAUUGGAGGUAGAGCACUGUUUGGACGAGGGGCCCCUCUCGGGUUACCGAAUUCAGACAAACUCCGAAUGCCAAUUAAUUUAACUUGGGAGUCAGAACAUGGGUGAUAAGGUCCGUGUUCGAAAGGGAAACAGCCCAGACCACCAGCUAAGGUCCCAAAAUAUAUGUUAAGUGGAAAAGGAUGUGGCGUUGCCCAGACAACUAGGAUGUUGGCUUAGAAGCAGCCAUCAUUUAAAGAGUGCGUAAUAGCUCACUAGUCGAGUGACACUGCGCCGAAAAUGUACCGGGGCUAAACAUAUUACCGAAGCUGUGGAUUGUCCUUUGGACAAUGGUAGGAGAGCGUUCUAAGGGCGUUGAAGCAUGAUCGUAAGGACAUGUGGAGCGCUUAGAAGUGAGAAUGCCGGUGUGAGUAGCGAAAGACGGGUGAGAAUCCCGUCCACCGAUUGACUAAGGUUUCCAGAGGAAGGCUCGUCCGCUCUGGGUUAGUCGGGUCCUAAGCUGAGGCCGACAGGCGUAGGCGAUGGAUAACAGGUUGAUAUUCCUGUACCACCUAUAAUCGUUUUAAUCGAUGGGGG
RNAcentral lists this ribosomal RNA (1458 nucleotides) under Staphylococcus aureus. RNAcentral's name for it is "partial 23S ribosomal RNA". It matches the Rfam family "Bacterial large subunit ribosomal RNA", at positions 12 to 1470 of the family's 2925-position model. The record is from RNAcentral. Lineage: Bacteria; Bacillati; Bacillota; Bacilli; Caryophanales; Staphylococcaceae.